GAAAUUACUUAAUCUAAAUUUUCUUUUUAUGUCGUUAAUGGCUAUAAAGCAUUGAAAAACAAAAUAUUAAAUUCGGGAUAGAUAUUUGCAGCCGUAAGAACUAAAGGGGGAGGGAGGGUCGACAGAAGGAGACGACUGUAAAUAAAUUAAAAUUUCUGGUCUUCCACAAAUAUCAUUUAAAUCAAAGUUUUGAGUAGAUUUCAUGAAACCCACCG
RNAcentral lists this long non-coding RNA (215 nucleotides) under Mytilus galloprovincialis (Mediterranean mussel). The record is from RNAcentral. Lineage: Eukaryota; Metazoa; Mollusca; Bivalvia; Mytilida; Mytilidae.